Molecule: long non-coding RNA, 215 nt
Filed under: Ananas comosus (pineapple)
Lineage: Eukaryota; Viridiplantae; Streptophyta; Magnoliopsida; Poales; Bromeliaceae
Description: long non-coding RNA (ACOM_LNC001302)
Source: RNAcentral
CGUGGGAUGUAGAAGGAAUUUUGGAUGGUUGAGAUGAGAUUGUGGGGUUUUUGGACGGUUGUGAUGAGAUUGUGAGAUAUUGGUGGUUAGGAUGGGAUUGCGAAAAUAUUGCGGAUUAGUCCUUUCCCUUUGAUCAUAUUACACCUUAAUAAAAAUAUUAUAUGAUUAAGGUAGGGCAUUUUGUAAAUAUAUAAAGGGAAUAGACUAAUAUGCUA